Molecule: non-coding RNA, 91 nt
Filed under: Gloeochaete wittrockiana
Lineage: Eukaryota; Glaucocystophyceae; Gloeochaetales; Gloeochaetaceae
Source: RNAcentral
GCGGUGUUGUACGAGUGGGUCGAGGGGAAAGAGGGAGGAGACUUGCCUGUGGUCUGUUUGGGUUUGUGUGUCAGUCGUUGUGGUUUUUGGG